UACGUAGGGGGGCGAGCGUUGUCCGGAGUUACUGGGCGUAAAGCGCACGCAGGCGGUCUGCUAAGUUUGGAGUGACAGUUGGUGGCUUAACUGCCAAAGUGCUUCGAAAACUGACAGACUUGAGGGCUUCAGAGGGACACGGAAUUCCGGGUGGAGUGGUGAAAUGCGUAGAGAUCCGGAGGAACACCAAAGGCGAAGGCAAUGUUCUGCUCGGUUCUGACGCUCAG
RNAcentral lists this ribosomal RNA (227 nucleotides) under uncultured bacterium. RNAcentral describes it as "partial 16S ribosomal RNA". It matches the Rfam family "Bacterial small subunit ribosomal RNA", at positions 524 to 750 of the family's 1533-position model. The record is from RNAcentral.